UCCUGUCUGUCAGUAUGUAGUCACUAAUAAAUGAGCAAGAAAAAAUAACUGAAUUGAAAUGAAACCAUUAACAAACUGAUCCCUUGGAAACAUUAUGGCAACAAUGAUAGUGAAGCAAGGCUGCCUGUAACCUACCUUGGCACAUGUAGGGCGUUCUGCAAAGUGUAGUCCGUGCACUUGAAUUCUUCUGGAAGAUGCUGAUGUUUACUGUGGUAUCUCUUCUUUGCUCCUGCACUUACAUUUGUGUUGCUCCAGUACCUGACAGGGGAAGGAUGCUGUGUCUUUAAAGCCUUCUCAGGGCUGUGCGGAGGCAGUUCCAUUGAAGUAUUUGAAUGAGAGCAAGAGGGGGGUGUGCAUGUGGCUAUUGGCAGAGCUCUCUAUGACAUCCCUCUGAACAGCUGGGCUCUGCUUUGCUUCAGAGCUGCUUGUCAGAGCAAUUAGCUUGCUGUAGCAGCAGCAAAGAUCGCUAGCAUUUUAUUCAGGGUUGAGAGCUGGCGGGGGCUUCUAAGAAGCAGUAUUAUCUUGGCAAAAUUCCUCUUGAACUGGUUGUGGCAAUGAAGUCUCCAUUGAAAUCAGGAAACAGAUGACCUGCUGAGAGUGCAAAACCACCACGUAUAGGUAUAAGUGCAAGCGAGUGUUUCAGGGAUGGGGACCUGACAUCAUUCAUCUCUGCGUUCUGCCUAGGGACCCUCAGAGGAACUGUCCACAAAAAUUUACAGCAAUAUGUUUGGACCAAACAUUUUGUUAACAAGGGGUGAGAGGGUUCUUGCUUGGCUUCACUGCAGCUCCCAAAAUAAAAAGAGAAGAACAGCAUCACUGUUUUGGUUGGUUUGUUUUUAACAUCAAACAAAUAAUAUCCCCUUAGACUAACAGAAGGAAGAGCAGACGGACUGAAGAUGGCUGCUAUUGC
RNAcentral lists this long non-coding RNA (910 nucleotides) under Aquila chrysaetos chrysaetos. RNAcentral's name for it is "lncRNA (ENSACCG00020016018.1)". The record is from RNAcentral. Lineage: Eukaryota; Metazoa; Chordata; Aves; Accipitriformes; Accipitridae.